AGGCGAUGAUGAUAUGUGAUCUCGUGUACCGGAGAUGGAUGCGUCCAUCGGUGAUGGCAACACAACCCUCUAAGAAGUUCUGAGCCU
This is a small nucleolar RNA of Elaeis guineensis (African oil palm), 87 nucleotides long. RefSeq annotates it as small nucleolar RNA U61. The record is from RefSeq and is a predicted model, not a curated record. Lineage: Eukaryota; Viridiplantae; Streptophyta; Magnoliopsida; Arecales; Arecaceae.